CUGCUUAAGAGUCCCAAAAUAGGACGAAACGGCCGUCCAG
RNAcentral lists this non-coding RNA (40 nucleotides) under Schistosoma mansoni. The record is from RNAcentral. Lineage: Eukaryota; Metazoa; Platyhelminthes; Trematoda; Strigeidida; Schistosomatidae.